Phyllostomus hastatus (greater spear-nosed bat) is the source of this 790-nucleotide long non-coding RNA. RefSeq lists it as uncharacterized. The transcript has 3 exons. The record is from RefSeq and is a predicted model, not a curated record. NCBI's taxonomy places the organism in Eukaryota, Metazoa, Chordata, Mammalia, Chiroptera, Phyllostomidae.
GGUCAGGGCUCGGUGUCCGGCGCAGGAGGGGAGGGCCGAGCAACAGCUGCCCGCUCCCGUCUGGCCGCGCGGACCCAGGGGAGGGCCGUGACGCUGGGCCGCCAUUUCCCUCGGAAAGAUGAUGAAUGGACGGACCCACUUGCAAAGCCCAUCUGUGCAGAUUACUUGGGAAAAGAGACCGUCUUCUCCGCUGUACAGGCCCGAGGAUGCGCUUACUUAACUCCCAUCAUCCAAAAGUGGAUGCCGGAGGCCAGGAGGCUCUAGCACGGUCCCGUCCAGAAGAGUGAUGUCAUUGGAAAGGUCAAGGGCAGAGACUGUGAGGCUGAGCAACACGGGGCUGGAGGAGGUUCUAGGGGCUGAGGUUCCGCGUGCCCCGUGGUCAGUGCAAUGCUCGUGUCCACAGUCAGCAGGCCCACAUACUGCUGCCUCCACCUGCACCUCCGGGCGAAUGAAUGGAUCUCUGGGCUCCUGAGCCCAAAAAUGGACCAAGCACCUGGCUCCUUUCCCGUGAGACCAGACAGAGGGACGCUGGAAAGGACCUAGAGCUGUCCUCAAGGCGCGAAGAAGUGAUUCAUCGCCUUACCUCACCUCUGACUAAUCAGCUCCCAGCACGACCGGAACCCCUGACCCACACGCGCCGGGCGAUUUGAUUUUCAUGACCAACAUGAAAACGCACUGACGGGAACGCAGGAGUCUCGGGGACACACGGGAAGCAAACACACGUGGUCCGGCUUUUCCUCCUUUCGUCCACCACAGAGAACACCAAGUACCCCAUUGCCACAGAAUGAAG